AAUGAACGCUGGCGGCGUGCCUAACACAUGCAAGUCGGAUGUGCCGCAAGGUGCAUGGCAGACGGGUGAGUAACGCGUAGGGAAUCUACCUUUUUGUGGGGAAUAACGUUCCGAAAGGAAUGGUAAUACCGCAUGAGACCAUGGACUGGGAUGUUUAUGGUGAAAGCUGGGGACCGCAAGGCCUAGCGCAAGAAGAGGAUCCUGCGUCUGAUUAGCUAGUUGGCGGGGUAAUGGCCCACCAAGGCGACGAUCAGUAGCCGGCCUGAGAGGGUGAUCGGCCACACUGGAACUGAGACACGGUCCAGACUCCUACGGGAGGCAGCAGUGGGGAAUUUUGCGCAAUGGACGAAAGUCUGACGCAGCAACGCCGCGUGGGUGAUGAAGGUCUUCGGAUCGUAAAACCCUGUCGUCAGGGACGAAGUGUUGGGGGCUAAGUACCCUUCAGCAUUGACGGUACCUGGAGAGGAAGCCCCGGCUAACUCUGUGCCAGCAGCCGCGGUAAU
This 503-nucleotide ribosomal RNA is filed under the name uncultured bacterium. RNAcentral's name for it is "bacterial SSU rRNA". It matches the Rfam family "Bacterial small subunit ribosomal RNA", at positions 29 to 524 of the family's 1533-position model. The record is from RNAcentral.